AGUGAACGCUGGCGGUAGGCCUAACACAUGCAAGCCGAACAGCAGCACAGUAAGAGCUUGCUCUUACGGGUGGCGAGUGGCGGACGGGUGAGGAAUACAUCGGAAUCUACUUUUUCGUGGGGGAUAACGUAGGGAAACUUACGCUAAUACCGCAUACGACCUACGGGUGAAAGCAGGGGAUCUUCGGACCUUGCGCGAUUGAAUGAGCCGAUGUCGGAUUAGCUAGUUGGCGGGGUAAAGGCCCACCAAGGCGACGAUCCGUAGCUGGUCUGAGAGGAUGAUCAGCCACACUGGAACUGAGACACGGUCCAGACUCCUACGGGAGGCAGCAGUGGGGAAUAUUGGACAAUGGGCGCAAGCCUGAUCCAGCCAUACCGCGUGGGUGAAGAAGGCCUUCGGGUUGUAAAGCCCUCUUGUUGGGAAAGAAAAGCAGCAGGUUAAUACCCCGCUGUUCUGACGGUACCCAAAGAAUAAGCACCGGCUAACUUCGUG
RNAcentral lists this ribosomal RNA (492 nucleotides) under uncultured bacterium. RNAcentral describes it as "partial 16S ribosomal RNA". It matches the Rfam family "Bacterial small subunit ribosomal RNA", at positions 29 to 507 of the family's 1533-position model. The record is from RNAcentral.